UGUGUAGGCGGUUGCUUAAGUUUGGUGUGAAAUCUCCCGGCUCAACUGGGAGGGUGCGCCGAAUACUGAGUGACUCGAGUGCGGGAGAGGAAAGUGGAAUUCCUGGUGUAGCGGUGAAAUGCGUAGAUAUCAGGAGGAACACCGGUGGUGUAGACGGCUUUCUGGACCGUAACUGACGCUGAAACACGAAAGCGUGGGUAGCAAACAGGAUUAGAUACCCUGGUAGUCCACGCCCUAAACGAUGCACAUUUGGUGUGGGUCAUUCAGUUGAUCCGUGCUGGAGCUAACGCGUUAAAUGUGCCGCCUGGGGAGUACAGUCGCAAGGCUGAA
Molecule: ribosomal RNA, 330 nt
Filed under: uncultured bacterium
Lineage: Bacteria
Description: bacterial SSU rRNA
Rfam family: Bacterial small subunit ribosomal RNA
Source: RNAcentral